UUCCGUUAUUUAUUUAUUUAUUUUUUUUGUUUGUUUGUUUUCUAUAAAUAUGAAAUGUGAGUAACAAAACAUUUUCACUCGGUCAAAAUACAUGAAAAUUUACAAACUGAAAAAUAAUGAGAACAAAUAUGAAAAAAAUAAAUAUAUAAUCAGCCAAAGGCCAAAUUUCCGAGAUAUGUACACUAAAAAUGAAUAAAAUCCUAAAACCCGAUGAAUUGUAUAUGCAUACCUGUAUAAAAUCAAGUCAAGAAACACAUUUUAGUAUCACCUAAAAAACACGUUUUAAAAAAGUAAAAAAAGGUCAAAAAGUUGCAUGUGUCAGUCGAUUGGAAAUUUAGCACAGAUGGCGUACUUAAGAACUUAUUUUUUACUUUUCGAGUAGUUUAAAAAUAUAUUUAAAGAACCAUGCAAACUCGACAAUAGAUAUCAAUGGAUACAAGCAUAUGUACUGAAUACUCAUUUUUUAAUCAUUUUCGGGUAAAUUGGAUAUAAACAGAAUAAUUUUAGUAAGUGUUAAAUCUUAAU
Aphis gossypii (cotton aphid) is the source of this 525-nucleotide long non-coding RNA. RefSeq lists it as uncharacterized. The record is from RefSeq and is a predicted model, not a curated record. The transcript is spliced from 3 exons. NCBI's taxonomy places the organism in Eukaryota, Metazoa, Arthropoda, Insecta, Hemiptera, Aphididae.